CCAAAAUCCGCUGGGGAGUUAUUGCCGAGACCGGAAUACGAUUCCUGGGAAACCAGGGAGAAGUGGUUGAAUCACGCUGUCAAGAAAAUCCUCGUAGAGAGUUUCUAAUGUAACCGUACCGCAAUCCGACACAGGUAGACGAGGAGAAUAUCCUAAGGCGCGCGGGUGAACUCUGGUUAAGGAACUCGGCAAACUAGUCCCGUAACUUCGGAAGAAGGGAUGCCUGCUGAUUUAACCCCGUACAGGGGAAGGGUCGGCGGGUCGCAGUGAAAUGGCUCUCGUGACUGUUUAACAAAAACACAGGCCUCUGCUUAAAUCACAAGAUGAUGUAUAGGGGCUGAUGCCUGCCCGGUGCUGGAAGGUCACGGGGAGAUGUUAGUGUCCGCAAGGAUGCGAAGCGUUGAACCUAAGCCCCAGUAAACGGCGGCCGUAACUAUAACGGUCCUAAGGUAGCAAAAUUCCUUGUCGGGUAAGUUCCGACCUGCACGAAUGGCACAACAAAGAGAGCGCUGUCUCAACCAGAGUCUCGGUGAAAUUGGGGUGCAAGUGAAGACGCUUGCUGCCCGCGGCUAGACGAAAAGACCCCGUGAAGCUUUACUGUAUCUUGAUAAUGAGCUACGGGAUUGGAUGCGUAGAAUAGGUGGGAGGCUUUGAAGCCUCGCUUUCGGGCGAGGUGGAGCCGUCUGUGAAAUACCACUCUUCCGAUCUUGUGGUUCUAACACCGUCCUCUAUAUCGAGGCGGCGGACAUUGUCAGGUGGGCAGUUUAACUGGGGCGGUUGCCUCCUAAAGAGUAACGGAGGCGUACAAAGGUUCCCUCAGCGCGUAUAGAAAUCGCGCAUCGUGUGCAAGAGCAGAAGGGAGCUUGACUGCAAGACCAACAAGUCGAGCAGGUGCGAAAGCAGGUUCUAGUGAUCCGGCGGUUUGAAUGUGGAAUUGCCGUCGCUCAACGAAUAAAAGCUACUCCGGGGAUAACAGGCUUAUGGGAUCCAAGAGUCCAUAUCGACGAUCCCGUUUGGCACCUCGAUGUCGGCUCAUCGCAUCCUCCCGCUGAAGUAGGUGGGAAGGGUUUGGCUGUUCGCCAAUUAAAGCGGUACGUGAGCUGGGUUCAGUACGUCGUAAGACAGUACGGUCUCUAUCUACCGUGGGCGUAGGAAUUUUGAAGGGAGCUGUCCCUAGUACGAGAGGACCGGGAUGGACGAACCUCUGGUGUACCAGUUGUUCCGCCAGGAGCAUGGCUGGAUAGCUAAGUUCGGAAAGGAUAAACGCUGAAAGCAUCUAAGUGUGAAACCUGCCCUAAGAUAAGAAUUCCCGCAACAUUAGUUGCCUAAAGACCUCCGGAAGACUACCGGAUUGAUAGGCAGGAAGUGGAAGCGCCGUUAAGGCGUGGAGCUAACCUGUACUAAUUGGUCGUGCGGCUUGGCCGU
Molecule: ribosomal RNA, 1425 nt
Filed under: metagenome
Description: bacterial LSU rRNA
Rfam family: Bacterial large subunit ribosomal RNA
Source: RNAcentral